This 427-nucleotide long non-coding RNA is filed under the name Homo sapiens (human). RNAcentral's name for it is "non-protein coding lnc-MEIKIN-3:4". The record is from RNAcentral. Lineage: Eukaryota; Metazoa; Chordata; Mammalia; Primates; Hominidae.
UGAGAAAACUUGCCCUUCAACCCCUGAAAAAACAAAGAAAAAAGCAAAUUGAUUUGUCCUCAGUGCAAAAAGCAUCUUUUGAAGAACUAUUUCCAAAUGUCAGCAAUUAUGUUAAUUCAAAUGAAAUUGUUCCUGUGUCAAGUUUGCAGGAAAAUUCUUCAAAUGAGUUUCCUGCAAAUGCAUCAGAAAUAUGUUGUAUUAUUAGAACAUCACCAGGAACUAGACAAGUGAAAAAUAAAGGUGUUAUUGUAAAGAAGAAGAAAUAUUCUCUUCCUAAGGAUACCCCUCAAGAUAUCAUAAUAAAAAUGGCAUGAAAAAACAGCUGUGGCUGAAUUUUCACCACUUUGAAGACAGGAGUGUGAAGUCAAAGUCUAUAAAGCAGAAUGUCUGCCUGAAAUUAUAUGAAAUUAAAAAUUAAAAAUUCUCC